Molecule: long non-coding RNA, 420 nt
Organism: Capra hircus (goat)
Lineage: Eukaryota; Metazoa; Chordata; Mammalia; Artiodactyla; Bovidae
Exons: 4
Source: RefSeq, a predicted model, not a curated record
AUCGGAGCGCUGGUGCCCACAGCUCGGGAGCGAGGGAAACUGCGUCUGCGCGGGCUGAGUGCGCAUGGAGAGGACUUCGCUGGUGGUAUCGCGAGGCCAAUCCAGUCAGCAGGUGCAUGGAGUUCUACAUCCACCCAUAGUCCACCAAUCAUUCAGUGUGAAUGGUCUUGGAGUUAAUUCAACAGGAGAAGAGUCAAGUGAGGUUACAGAUGAGACAGUGGUGAGCCAAGGGCAGAUGUGACGCAGAUGCAUCUUAUUUAUUUUUGGCUGCACAGCGUGCCAUUCAGGGUCUUAGUUCUCCUGCCGCCUGCAACGGAAGCAGAGUCCCAACCACUGGACCACCAGGAGUCUCAAUGUAGGUGCAUUUGAGAAAUAAAUACAUUCUUUACCAAAGGAAUUGACGGCUUUGUGUGCCUUUGG